This 496-nucleotide ribosomal RNA is filed under the name uncultured bacterium. RNAcentral's name for it is "partial 16S ribosomal RNA". It matches the Rfam family "Bacterial small subunit ribosomal RNA", at positions 28 to 506 of the family's 1533-position model. The record is from RNAcentral.
GAUGAACGCUGGCGGCGUGCCUAAUACAUGCAAGUCGAGCGAACAGACGAGGAGCUUGCUCCUCUGACGUUAGCGGCGGACGGGUGAGUAACACGUGGAUAACCUACCUAUAAGACUGGGAUAACUUCGGGAAACCGGAGCUAAUACCGGAUAAUAUAUUGAACCGCAUGGUUCAAUAGUGAAAGACGGUUUUGCUGUCACUUAUAGAUGGAUCCGCGCCGCAUUAGCUAGUUGGUAAGGUAACGGCUUACCAAGGCAACGAUGCGUAGCCGACCUGAGAGGGUGAUCGGCCACACUGGAACUGAGACACGGUCCAGACUCCUACGGGAGGCAGCGGUAGGGAAUCUUCCGCAAUGGGCGAAAGCCUGACGGAGAAACGCCGCGUGAGUGAUGAAGGUCUUCGGAUCGUAAAACUCUGUUAUUAGGAAAGAACAAAUGUGUAAGUAAAUAUGCACGUCUUGACGGUACCUAAUCAGAAAGCCACGGCUAACUACGU